This 289-nucleotide ribosomal RNA is filed under the name uncultured Lachnospiraceae bacterium. RNAcentral describes it as "partial 16S ribosomal RNA". Lineage: Bacteria; Bacillati; Bacillota; Clostridia; Lachnospirales; Lachnospiraceae. The record is from RNAcentral.
CUACUGGGGUAUCUAAUCCUGUUUGCUCCCCACGCCUUCGAGCCUCAACGUCAGUUAUCGUCCAGUAAGCCGCCUUCGCCACCGGUGUUCCUCCCAAUAUCUACGCAUUUCACCGCUACACUGGGAAUUCCACUUACCUCUCCGACACUCUAGCUUCACAGUUUCCAAAGCAGUCCCGGGGUUAAGCCCCGGGCUUUCACUUCAGACUUGCCAAGCCGUCUGCGCUCCCUUUACACCCAGUAAAUCCGGAUAACGCUUGCCCCCUACGUAUUACCGCGGCUGCUGGCAC